Molecule: long non-coding RNA, 2847 nt
Filed under: Brassica napus (rape)
Lineage: Eukaryota; Viridiplantae; Streptophyta; Magnoliopsida; Brassicales; Brassicaceae
Description: long non-coding RNA (BNAP_LNC005111)
Source: RNAcentral
UGUUUGGUGCUAUGCCCACCGCUCCCAAUAAUGAUGAUGAUAUUUUUGGAUCAUUCUCUUCCUCUACCAAUCAAUACCCUCCCGUUGAUGAUUUGUUGGCUGGAUUUGGUGCUCUUAAAUCCCAGACCUUCAACCUCAACAAUUCAUCCGCUUCUGAUGAAUUGAUUCCUGGUUUUGGUUUUGGUACUUCUCACAGGUUUGUAUGAGAUUCUCAUCUUUGGGAUGUGCUAAUCUCUUGUGAUUUGGUAUUUUGGAAUUUUAGAUCACCUUUGGAGAUGAAAUCGUUUAUUUAGUGUUUUUUUGUUUGUUGUUGACUUUUCAGCAAGACUACGGCAUCCAACUUUGUUGAUACUGACCCUUUUGUGGUUCUGGAAUCAACUAUGUCCGGCGCACAUUCUUCUUCCGGUAUCUUCGUGGAUCCACUGGAUGCAUUUGCUGCUUCCGUCAGCUCUCAGGGGCAAAAACCAUCUAAUAAUACCACACAUUCUUCUACAAAGCUCAAGCCUCCCCCUAAACCAACGCAAAAAGUGAACAGAGGUUAGUGUCUCUUUGAUGUUGAGUAUUUAUUUCACUGGUAUCUAAUUAGUCUGAGGGAUUAUUUGCACAGCUAAAAGUUCUGUGAUGUCUUCAGUAGACGAACUUGACGACUUUGCCAUGGGUGGUACCAUGCGCCGUAGUGCCUCGGCCUCUGACGCUGCUAGUAAAUAUAGAGAAGCUCAAGAGACGAAACAGUUUGGUGUUGAUGACCUUGACUCCUUUUUCAGCUCUGGGCCUCGCUCCAGCAGUGUGCCCAAAUCUCGGACAGCAACUGAAGUAAGAACGACUUUUGAAAUAUUUCUAUAUUCCAUUUUUUUCAUAUAAAGAAAAAUGUGUCCUUAUUCUGUCUUUCUGAUGCAAAGGCACCUCGCAAGCCAGCAGUCAACGUCCCAAAAAAGACGACUAAUGGGGUUUCUAGUGCAAAGAAGCCUCCUGCUCCAGCAGCAAAUCUGGUGGAUGACUUUUCUGCGCUUUUUGGAGGUAUGUCUUGUGAAAACAUGUCUUUUCCAGCAAUUGGUUGCUUUCUUAGAAAUGUUUCUCUGUUUACAGAGGAUCCUCCUACUCGCUAAAAGCUUACUCUGUUGUUUGAUUUGUUUUGUGUUGCAGUUUCUUGUUCUCUGCUGGGCUGUUAUACGAGAUGAGCAAGAUCUCAGGAUACAUGCUCGGCAGGGCUGAGUCCAACAAAUCUAAAAGGCACUGAAUCAGAGAAGGGGAUUAUUAAUAAGUUAGAUGAUGUUCUCGAAUUUGAUAUAUGGUUUAGCACUUUAAAAGUCUCGAGGAUACUUUACAACUAUUAAAAUUAGGCUUUUCCGCGCAUCUUAUGUUUGACUUGGUCGAUAUCGCAGUUGUGUGUUAUGACUUUGUGUUCUGCGUUCUUAUAGAAACUAAGACAAAUGGUCAGAUCCAAUGCCCAUAUCUCUAUAAAAUUAGGCCUGUAAACCCCAAAAUGGUGAAAUAAAAUAGACAUAGACAUAUGUAAUUUGAAAUUAUAAAAUAUUGGGGUAUUAUGAGUCGACCAAAAAAAAUUAUGAUAAAUAUAGUAAGAAUAUUAAGAGCUUUUCAAGUUCAUGCCAAACGAAGUUGUAAAUGUUUGUAGGUGUGGUUUGGUACAUGUGAAGUUUGGGUUUCUUUUAGCCUAAAUAUUCUCAUUAGCUAGGAAGCUGAUUAAUAUAUACAUUGCUGAAGUCUGACUAUUCUGGGUGGUAUGGUAUCUCCAAAAUUCUAAAAAAAAAUAUGUAUUAAAGAAUGUAUGCGCCUUAAAAAAUUAAACCAAGCCAACUAAUGAUAUACAGAGUAGACAGGGUGUACCAAUUUAUGUGUUCUGUAAUGUGACUGCAAUAAUCACAAUUUAAGCUAAAAUAAAACUUACAAAAUUAAAAUGAUUUAUUUUAGUGGAAUCUUUUUGUGUGUUUGAAAAAAAGAAGAAAAUAGUAUGAGAUGGGAUAUAAAAAGGGGAAAGUGGGAAUUUAAAAAAAAGGAAAGCCAUCUGUCUCGGACCCCACACCAACCCAUUCCAUUGAUUCAUUUGUGUCUGUGUGUGUGGGUAAUCAAUCAAUCGUCAUCGUCGUCGGUGCCUUCCUUGUCAGAUUUUUAUUUGUAGAGAGAGAAAUUAGGAGACGACGAUUGUUUUCUUUCCAUCUUUCUACAUUCUCUCCGUUAAUCCAUUAUUCAGAGAUUCCCUCUCUCCCAUCUUCAUCAUACGAUCCCUGAUUUUCACGGGAUCGAUCCGGACUGAAUCUGUAUUUCUCAGAUCAAUCGGAUCCAAUGGACGAGUUUGGUGUUCUUACGGAGCGCUAUGGGAUCAAGCCCCAAGGCAAAUCUGCUCCAAUGGCUGCCUCCAAGCGUUCUCACAACACUUCCGAUUGGAAAUCGUACGCUUCUUCUUCCAAUAAGGUAUCUGGUAACGGUGACGACAUUUUCUUCACCUCGAGCUCGACUACUACUACCAUGAACGGCGCGAGUUCUGGUGGCUUCGAUGUUUUCGGUGGGAUGAACAAUAAGAAUAGCAAGUCGUCAUCUUCAGCGCAUGCUGAUGACUUGUUUGGUGCUAUGCCCACCGCUCCCAAUAAUGAUGAUGAUAUUUUUGGAUCAUUCUCUUCCUCUACCAAUCAAUACCCUCCCGUUGAUGAUUUGUUGGCUGGAUUUGGUGCUCUUAAAUCCCAGACCUUCAACCUCAACAAUUCAUCCGCUUCUGAUGAAUUGAUUCCUGGUUUUGGUUUUGGUACUUCUCACAGGUUUGUAUGAGAUUCUCAUCUUUGGGAUGUGCUAAUCUCUUGUGAUUUGGUAUUUUGGAAUUUUAGAUCACCUUUG